GUUNUCUUGGUCAUUUAGAGGAAGUAAAAGUCGUAUCAUGGUUUCUGUGGGUGAGCGUGCGGAGGGAUCAUUUUUCAACGAAAUAGCUGGCAAUGCUGUCGUUGGCUAUAAUGCAUAUCAAUAAGCGGAGGAGGUCUUGGUCCAUUAGAGGAAGUAAAAGUCGUAACAAGGUUUCCGUAGGUGAACCUGCGGAAGGAUCAUUACAGAGUUCGAGCCCUCCGGGGCAGACCUCCCACCCUUGCCUACCCUACCUUUGUUGCUUUGGCGGGCCGUCCUCUCGGCCACCGGCGUGGCGUCCUGCGCUGGUGCGCGCCCGCCAGAAGAGCCCAAACCCUGAAUGCACUGUGUCGGCUGAGUAACACAUCAACGUUAAAACUUUCAACAACGGAUCUCUUGGUUCUGGCAUCGAUGAAGAACGCAGCGAAAUGCGAUAAGUAAUGUGAAUUGCAGAAUUCAGUGAAUCAUCGAAUCUUUGAACGCACAUUGCGCCCCUCGGUAUUCCGGGGGGCAUGCCUGUUCGAGCGUCAUUCGCACCCCUCAAGCGCUGCUUGGUCCUGGGCCGCGCCGGUGUUGGCGGGCCCCAAACUCAGUGGCGGCGCGGCUGGGCUCCGAGCGUAGUAACAUCUCUCUCGCUGUGGUGACCUGGCGGACGGCGACCAGCAAGCCCAACUUCUAGUAGUUGACCUCGGAUCAGGUAGGAGUACCCGCUGAACUUAAGCAUAUCAAUAGCGGGAGGAAGUCAACGGUCUAUGCCGGGAGAUGCUUCAUGAUCCUCUGCUAUCUGAAUGUCUUUAUCGGACGAUAUGAUAAACUUGACCUCAAAUCAGGUAGGACUACCCGCUGAACUUAAGCAUAUCAAUAAGCGGAGGAAG
Molecule: ribosomal RNA, 872 nt
Filed under: Unguiculariopsis lettaui
Lineage: Eukaryota; Fungi; Ascomycota; Leotiomycetes; Helotiales; Cordieritidaceae
Description: eukaryotic LSU rRNA
Rfam family: 5.8S ribosomal RNA (bases 374-527)
Source: RNAcentral